RNAcentral lists this long non-coding RNA (11424 nucleotides) under Nicotiana tabacum (common tobacco). Its description in RNAcentral is "long non-coding RNA (NTAB_LNC018510)". Lineage: Eukaryota; Viridiplantae; Streptophyta; Magnoliopsida; Solanales; Solanaceae. The record is from RNAcentral.
UGGUAUCACAAGAGCAUGAGCAUUUACUGGGGAAUUAAAAUAAAAUACAGCAUCUGUCCAGAAUACAAAUUAGACAGGAAAGUAUAAUAACUCUGACGGAGAUUCUGUUAGCUGCGGAUCGUAAUAUAGAAUGCAGCUCAUCUAUGUCCCCACAAUUAUUAACCACACCUCUGAGCCCACAAGGCCGCUAUACAUAUAUGUACCUGCACAAUAAAAUAUGCAGCAAGAAGUAUGGGUCAAUAAUAUUAAAUAAUCAUAAAAAUAGAAAUAUUUAUAUCAACGUGAUUCACAGAGUUAACAAUAAUUUUAUUGAACCAGCAGAAGUAAUUAAAUUCCUUCAAUUCCAAUAAUUCUCAAUAUAUUAAUUAAAUUCCUUCAAUUCAAAUAAUUUCUAAUCUAUUAAUUAAAUCCUUCAAAUUCAAUAAAAAUUCCAAUUUAUCAAAUAGCUUUACAAGCUUCAAUUCCAAGAACUCAAAUAUAAAAUUUUCAUCCAAUUCCAUAACAAUUUUCGUGGUGAAAAAUUAAAAAUACCAAUUUUCUAGGUUUUUCUUCAAAACUCCAAAUUUUUACAAAUUUAUAUGUCUAAAUCCAUAUAUAAACAAUGUAUUUAACUUGCAAUAGGUGUGAAUUAACUUACCUCUAAGUUGCUAGGUGAAUUCUCCUCUCAAGAACCUCCCAAGAUCGUCCAAGAAUGAAGAAAUAGGCAAAAAUGCUCAAAUCCCCGCUUUAAACACUCACUGCCCAGCGAUCAUCGCGCCCACGGCAAAAAUUUUUGCAUCCGCGGCUUCGCACCCGCGAUGGAUUUUUCGCACCUGCGGAUUCGCACCCGCGAUGGAUUUUUCGCACCCGCAGCUUCGCACCCGCGAUGGAUUUUUCGCACCCGCAGCUUCGCACCCGCGAUGGAUUUUUUGCACCCUCGAUGGAUUUUUCGCAUUCCGCGGCUUCGCACCCGCGGUGGAUUUUUUGCACCCGCGAUCACACCAAAUAUCAACUGUCUCAACUCUUCUUCAAAUUCCAAAUUCGAUCCGUUAACCAUCCGAAACUCACCCGAGGCCCUCGGGACCUCAACCAAAUAUACCAACAAGUCCUAAAAUAUCAUACGAACUUAGUCGAGCCUCUAAUUCACAUCAAACAACGCUAAAACCACGAAUCAUACUCCAAUUCAAGCUUAAUAAAACUAAAAAUUUUUAACUUCUACAUUCGAUGUCGAAACCUAUCAAAUCAACUCCGAUUGACCUCAAAUUUUGCACACAAGUCAUAAAUAACAUAACAGAGCUAUAAAAAUUUUCGGAACUGUAUUCCGACUCCGGUAUCAAAAGUCAACUCCCUGGUCAAACUUCCAAACUUAAAUUAUUGUUUUAGCAAUUUCAAACCUAAUUUCACUACGGACUUCCAAAUAAAAUUCCGAUUACGCUCCUAAGUCUAAAAUCAUCAUACGGAGCUGUUGGAAUCAUAAAAUUUUUAUUUCGGGGUCGUUUUCACAUAAUUCGAUAUCCGGUCACUAUUUGAAUUUAAAUUUUAUUUUUAAUCAAAAUUUCAUAUCUCGGGUUAGGGACCUCGGAAUUUGAUUCCGGGCAUACGCCCAAGUCCCAAAUCACGAUACGAACCUACCGAAACUGUCAAAAUACCGAUCCGAGUCUGUUUGCUCAAAAAGUUGAUCAAAGUCAAACUUGGCCUUUUAAAGCCAACUCAAGGAACCAAGUAUUCCGAUUUCAAUCCAAAUACUUCCAAAUCCCGAACCAACCCAUCCCCACAAGUCAUAAACAUUUAAAGACACAUAACGGAAAAGUUUUGUUUAGGAGAACGGGGUUCUAAAAGUCAAAACGACCGGUUGUGUCGUUACAAUAAUUGUAUGUAAAUUGUAUUCUGUUAUAGUUAUAUAUAUUUUUUUAAUUUGAAUGUUGUAUGAAAGUUAAAAAAUAAUUGUAUAACAUAUGAAUCGUUGUAUAAAAUUUGUAUUUAAGUUAUCAAUACUAUCUUUUUGCAUAAAGUUGUUGAUAUGUAUCAAAAUUUGUCCAAAGAUUUUACGAGGUUAAUAACUAUCGUGCGGGGCUAGUAAAGUAUUCUGCUUCACUUGAUUGGUUAACUUACCCAAUAAACUAAUCUAUCACAAAUUAACGAAAUAUUUAAAUCUGCACUAAAAUGGAUACAUCGUACUUACAAUUAAUAUUAUACAAUUUGAUGGUACAACAACAUACAAAUUUAAAAAUAAAUUCCGUACAAAUUUAAUACAAAUUGAUAUAUCUACAACAACAUACAACUAAUUAUAUAGUAUACACUUAUUUACAACUUAUCUACAACUUUCAUGCAUUAUUUUUACCCAGUUAAAAUAUAUCUACAACAUCAUAAAACUUAAAUAUAAUUUUCAUACAAAUUUUAUACAAUAUGUCUUUUUGUAUAUUUUGUAUAUGAUUUGUAUAUAUUUUGUAUGUGGUGUGUGUUUCUUCCUCUCUAAAAUUCUAAUCAAAACUUUCUCUCUUAAUACAAUGUUGAUAAAUAUCAAUAACUUUAUGUAAAAUGAUUGUAUUGAUAACUUAAAUACAAAUUUUAUACAACGAUUCAUACAUUAUACAACUAUUUUUUAACUUUCAUACAAUUUUCAAAUAAAAAAAUAUAUAUAACUACAACAUAAUAUAAUUUACAUACAAUUAUACUACACCUUUACAAUAAUUUUGUAAGUAUAUUGUAUGUCAUGCGUUUUUCUUCUUCGAGUUUCAAUUUAAAAUUCAGUCAAAAUCAAGUCUAAUCUUCACCAAACACCCUCAAAAUUGAGAUAUAAACUUCAAACAAUAUUCCUAAUUAUUUGAUACAACACCAAAUCCAAAAAAAUAAUGAUUUUUUAAAACCCAAAUUCGAAUUCAAAGCUUUAAAACUUUUAAUGGUUAUCAAUGGCAGAGAGUCAAACACCUUUAAAAUUUAUUGAUUGACAAUUUCAAUUUGAACACCAAUUGUGCAACAUGAAAGGAAAUUGCUAAGCUAAAACUCUAUAGUAAAAUGAUUGAAAUCCAUUGAUAAAUUCUAUUAAAAAUAUAUACAACAUGAAAGGAUAAAAAAUAGAGGACAUCAGAGGAAGAAAAAAUGGGAAAAGAAUAGAGAAUGAGAUAUUGAGAGAGAGAGAGAGCGCGUAGGUGAAAGAGAGAGAGAGCGCAGGUGAGAGAAAGAUAGAGAAAGAGAGCACGCAUGAGGGACAGAGAAUAAUGAUGUGAAAUAAUUGAUUCUUUAUUUAAUUUUUAAUAUAAAAUAAUACUUAUUUAAUUUCUAAAGUGUAUAUAAUUGAUAAAUUAUAUAUGAUUAAGUAAUUAAAUUGAAACUUGAGUAAGAGGUUAAUAAAGUUUCAAAUAUUAUAUAGGAAUAUAAAUUAUUUUUUUUAAAAUAAGAAAGAUUCGGCUAAAUCUAAUCCAGACAAUUCAUGUCAAUCUCCCCAGAUAAUUAGCACACCGUUUUAGGCCCACAUUCGGUUCUCACUGUAGGCCCCUACCCCAUGUGCCAUGUGUCCCCUUCGGUAUAUCCUUCGUCUAUGCCAUGUUGCAACUAAUCCUUUUAUUCUUCUAGAUUAGAUUAGAUUAGAUUAUUCCACCCAUUUACUUAUUAUCCUGUUAUAAUAUCACCGUCUAAAGCAGUUACAAUAAAAAAUGAAACACCCAAAAAUUUAUAUGGUUUGUAUGACAUUAACUUACUCUCAAUUAUAAACUUUUAUAUUUAAACGAAUAUUCAAUAAUUACGAUCAUAAAUUUUACUAUAUUUUUUUUUUAAUUUCAUAUCAAAUCAAACUAGUAUAUCAUUUGAAUAAAAAUAAAAAAUAAAAAUAAAAAUUUUAACAUAUGUUUCCAGCAAUAUAAGAUAUUUAUUCAAUAUAUAUAGUAUAUUAUAUGUAAUGAUUUUUCUUUAUCCUAUCAAAUGCCGCUAAAUAAAAGAAGAGAGGAGUAUUGGCUUUUUAGCCUCUUUUCAUCCCCUCCCCUCCCCCCCCCCCCCAGUUUUAUCUCUUUCUCAAAAAGAAAAAAAGUUACUUGAGUUCUGUGCUGAAAACAAAUAAAAUUAGUUGUAGCAAUUACUUGAGUAUUUCUCACGUGUGUCUCUUAAAGCAACUGCAGUACAAGUUUAAUAAGCAAUGAGCAAUGAAUUCAAUUCCAUUUUGUUCAGUAUGAUGAUUUUUAAGCUGCAAAUAAUCGAAAGCAGCGUAAUUUGUUUUAUCGGGAAUUAUUGUUAGAGUCGUUAUCCGUGAGCUGGAAUGAUGGUUGCUUGUUCUCGAUCUUGAUCUUCGCUCUUCUUCAUCUGUAGUGAUGGACUUGGAAGAUCAAAAUUCAGCUCUUAAAUCGGCCCGACAUAAUGAAACAAUGGCCACCCCUCAAAGCAAGGUUGGAAGUAAUGGGUCUAGUACUCCUGUGGGUAAUAAUAGUAAUAAUAAUAAAUUGGAUGAUGUAAAAGGCAAAGGAAUUGAAAUUAACGGGCCAGUGGAUAAUUCAGCUCCACUGGUGAAAUCCACUCCAACAAGUAAAGGAUUCGGGUUGAAGAAAUGGAAAAGGAUUAAGCGAGGAGCGCACAAGGAUCAUGGGGAUAGUAGUAGUAUAAACAGUGAUAAGUUGUUGAAACGUGGUUUGGCGAAUUCGGUUGCUAAUUCAGCAAAACCUGUGCAUUUUUCCGCUGGAAGCAUCCAAAGAAGUGAUGGGUCUGUUUCAUCUACAAAUGCCGUAUUCAAGAGUCCAGGAGUUCUGGUCGAUGGAUUUGGUGUAAUUGGUGAUUUGACCUUCAAUGCCAUGUCGGAAUCAGAGAACAGCGAGGAUCGGAGUAGUAAGUCGUCUACUGCAGCUAGUGCCCCAAAGGCGAGGUACGAAGCACCUGUUGUCCUGGGUUAUUCGUCUGACGUGCAUCAGUUGAGAAGCUUGAGUGGGAAGAACUUGGGCACUUCAGCUCAGCAAGCUCAUCAGGGAAAGGGUCGGGCUGAAACAAGUAAAAAGCCUAGAGGACAAAGGGUUAAAAUCGAGAAGGAAAACUCUCAUUCCAGCAUGGAAUCUGACUCACAAAGUUCUAAUUUUCUUUUUAUGCAGGGUAGUGACUAUGUUACAAGUAAUGGUACAAAAUGUGAAAGGUCAAUGAUGUAUGAUGGAGAAUUCAGUGAUGAAACUCAGGAUAGAGAAAGACCAAUUGGUGAGGAACUUCACGCUGGUCGCGAAAGAGGAAAUGAUAGGGAGUCUGAAAAUGUGUCACAAGAAGAUCUAGUUGCUGAAUCGCCAUGGGAGGUUAAGGAAGAGAAGAGUGAGAAUCAAGGCUCGUUCACUGAUCACGAUCCUCUGAUGGAGUCUAUCUUCAACCUCCAGACUGCUCAGGGAGCGCUUGAAAGAGGUAGAUCCGAACAUUUCAAGUUUACUUCUGCUUAUAUGACAGAUAUCGAUGUAGGUCAUGAAUUUUGUUCUGCUUGCAUCUUCUGUAUGUUGCAUUUAGCUGUAUCUUUCUGGUUGAAUCAAUAUGCUAAGAGGAGUGGCACUUAUGUUUGACAUCUACCUAUUUGGGCAUCUCUUAAGAAAUAUAUGCUAGCAUUAUGGCAGGAACAAUAACAUUAAGUCUGUAAGUCAGUGGAAAAAAUGUCAGGAGGUAGCGUUCAUAAUCCUAAUAAUGUGCAUAUACCUAAAAAAUGAUUUGGAGACCACUUACGCUUUCUCCUCUUCAGGAGGCAUUUAUACGCUUUCUCCUCUUCAGGAGGCAUUUAAUCGUGUAUAUUUGAUUAUCAUGCUGUUAUGCGGGUAUAUUUCGGACCAUGUUCUUUUCUAAAAGCAGUUUUUAUGUGCCGUAGUGUCAUAUAUUUUGCAAUUUACUUAUAAAUAAAUGUCAUAUUCUUUGCAAUUUACUGAUUCUUUAUAAUUAUUAUUGGUAUAACAACUUCCGGUUCAGGAUUAUACUGCAAAGGGUUUGAUGUUGAUAAAUUUCUUUUAGCAAUAUCAAAUCUUGUUGAGAACCUAUUUUCUGAUACAGAUGACAUUUUCAACUUGAAGCAUGUCCAUGUCCAACGAAUCAAUGGGCAAUGUUCAAUCUCAUGUUAAUUUGAAACAUUCUACAUAGCGUCUUACCUUUCUUUGUCUGUCUGGACUUGAUGCCACUCCCUUCUCUGACUCCCUCAAACAAAAGUGUAACUUAACAAUAAAAAACAGUAUGUUUUCACUUCUUUUAUCUGCAUCCAAGCCUAUCAUUUAUAUCUGUUUUAGAUGUUAUAGGACGGGCUUGGGACAUUAGGGACUGUAAUUUGAAGAAUCGAGUUUCCUGACCGUGGUAAAAUUAGGAUAUCAAUCCCACCUCCUUGGCCACCAGAUUUCAUUUCCCAUAAAUGGAAGAUUGGCAACCAAGAACAGCUAGAAACUUAGAUUGCUUGUGGAGAAUCUUGUUAGUCGCAGCUGCAUGUGCUGAUAGGGUUUCUAGGAGAGGACUAAUUAUAUUUUUCCUUCAUAUGUAAUAAAUUUCCUUCCGCAAGAAACUUGUUUGGUAAUUGUUUAAUGUACUUAUGCUUGUUAUCAUUUUGAGUGUUGCCUUAGGUUGUUAACAACCCUGUAGCAACUUUGGUGCUGAAAAUUGACUUCUUUGCUUAGUCAUAUUGGGUCUCGUCUGUCAGUGUAGUUAGUUUGCCUCGCAAGGCAAGAGAGGCAUCAUCAUUACAUUUGGGACACAUGGGUGAGAGGGAUCUAAACCAUUCUCAGCAAAAGAGGCCCUCUUUGCCAACAAAGAACUGAUAGGAUGGAUAGGCUUCUAAAUUUCAUGGUUAGUGCCUUGUGUGACUCGAACUAUUCUUACGAGGCUUGCUUGGAAUUUCAGCCUGCUCCCAUCUCCAUCCAAACACCUUUUUUCUUGUCCCCAACCCCACCCCAAAAAAUGACUCAUCAAAACUUUUUUCACUGAAUUUUCCAUCAUUGCGUUAUAACUUUGAAUUUGCUUCCUCCCCCCAAAACCAAAAAAUAAAUAAAUGGUUUCAUUGAUUUCCCUGUUUCCAUGGACCACACAAAAACUUUUCUUUACACCAGACAAAGAAGCAAAGUCAUUUAUGUGAAGUUGAGAGUCAUGGUCAAAUAAAACUUCAUUUCGUGCUUCCGAAGCAUCGGAUGGACGGACUUAUUCAUUCCUGUCAUUGAUAUAUAAGGAUAUUUUCUUCAUUGGAGUUUAAGAUUUUUUGAGAAUAGGAAAGAUCUCAUUAGCAAGAUCGAGUGUAACUAUAUUCUUUUACUUUCGUUUGGUCCACACAGGAGUUUAGUGAAAACGCGUAGCAUUGUAGAAUUUAUUAGCUCCCUUCAGAAUUAAAGGAAUGUAUUCUUUUGCUUUGUGCUGUACAUAUUCAGCACCAUGUUAGUGCUGUUUCAUCAGUAAAAUUAUACCUUUACCAAUAAAUUAUAUUUUCUUGGUUGAGUUAUUAGGUGUGUGUAUACACACACAUAUAUUUAACUUAUUUUUCACCUUCACUUUUAUUUAUUUUGGUAUUGGUAUGAUAAUGAUAUGAGCUGAGCUUAGAGAAAGAAGUGAGGAUUCAUAUCGCCGACCCCUACUAUGUUUGGGACUGAGGCGUAGUUAUUUGUUAAGUUAUCGGUGUUGGUCCUAUUUGAUCUCAGAAGCACAUUUAAGGGAAGUGCAAAUAUAUCGUAUGAAGUCGUUGACCAGUUUCUUUUCUGUGCAUGCUCUUGUUUUUGGAUGAGAUUUGUUAUGUCGUGUUUUUAUAUGCUUAAAGAAUUUUUUACUGAUCUGUUUAGUUAAUAACUAUAUCCAUUGAUUUUUGGGGGUUGACAAACAUUUUCCUUGGCUUUUCUGGUCUGUCUGCCAAAUUUAAUCUGCCAAAUUUAAUCAUAUAUACCGUUGACCAUUUUAAGAAGACAAUUACUUGUUGGAUUACUUAUAUCCAUUCAACUGGACUAAAUUUGCUGGUGUGCUUUCUCUACAGAACUUCAGAAAUUCAAAGAAAUCGGAAAAGAUGUUAUCUUUGGCCAUUCACUUGAGGAUGUUGGUAUACCUUCAGAUCUCCCUGGACCAAGCACAUCUGAGCAGUCACAGCACAGGGAUGGUGCUCGACAUUCUUUUAACUCCUUGGGGGCUGAAGUGGUUUGCCUAAAGCAGAAUAUAAUACUGUUGCAAAGCAAGCUUCAGAAGGCAGCAGACCGAGUUAAGUCCAAGGAAGCCAGAGUUACUGAACUGGAAGCCAUUCUAGGUAGUAGCUCAAAGAAGGAAGAAAAGACUAUUGAUACCAUGCACCAGAGUAGUAGAGACAUGGAAAGUGAGCUUGAGGGUCUUUUCAGACAGAAAAUUGAAGCUGAAGUUCAGUAUUUAGCAAUAUCAAGAACAGCCCAGAAGUUGAGAGCUGCAGCAGUUGAUCAAGCUACCCUCUUGGAAGAACAGAAGACCGUAGCUUCAGAACAAGCACAGAUGGUGCACAGGCUUGGAGAUGAAGAAGCAAAGGCUGCAAUGCUCAAGACACAAGCUGAGAAGUUGGAAAGUUACUGUAAAGAUAUAGCAACAACCGAUGAAAAGCUAAAGCUACAGAAGAAAGUCUACAAGUACAGUUCCUGUUUUUUGAUACAGUUGGUGCUGCUGGCUGUUGUCGUUGGACUGUUUCUGAUGCAAAUGUCACCUGAUUAUACUGAAAUUGUACCCACGUGAUGUUGAGAAGUUCUUUUCUUUUCUUUUUCUUGUAUUAUUAUCAACGUCGUGUGCAACGUUAGAUUAGUAUGUAGUAGAUGUUUAUAGAAAGCUUAAAUACCUUGUUUUCAUCUUCUCAAGUCUAUAGAAGAAGAUUCGUUGGUCCAUAAGUUGAGAUAUUGUUUCUAUAGAAGGGUGACAACCUAGAAAUUCUUUUGCUGGUAUCAUAUUCUUAUUCAUUCAAUUGUCAGCGAGGCCAUAUACGAGAAUUGUAUACGAGAAAAUGUAUAUUUUUUGUAUCUAUGUUUUCUGUAUAUAUGUAUAUUAUAUAAAAUCUUUCUGAGUCGAGGGUCUUUCGGAAACAACCUCUCUACCUUAUUAAAGGUAGGGGUACUACCCUCCCCAGAUUACAAUGGGUCUGUUGUUGUUAUUGUAUAUACAUAAAUAUAAUUAUACACUUUUUGAUUAGCGAAUACAAUUAGUUUUGGCCGACUGGCUAAUUUUGUAUUUUACCCGCUCUAUAUCCCCAUUUUCAAGGUCUAAUGUUCGAGUUGCAACUGAAUUCGAGUUGCAAUAAUCUCCUUCCUUAGAAAAGUGCACCUUACGCCGGCCAUGAUUGUGGAUUGGCUUGGUCAAUGGGCCAAAAUUGGCUUGGUCAAUGGGCCAAGGAUAUUACUGAUGUACACAAAUGGCCACUUUUUAGCCUUCAGAAGUUGGUCAGCAUUUCAUAAAUAGACCAGCAGUAUGAAGUUUGAAGAGGUCGCAUGUCUAAAAUUUAAAAUUCAAAACUAACAUUCAGACCGCGAGCUAUUUUUUUUUUGAAAAAUGGUCAACUUCUAAAUACAAGGCCAUAAAAGUGGCCACAUUGUGUAAAUAAUACUACUAUUUGUUUGGGACAUGGUAUAACCAAUUCUAAUCUAAUAUAGUGUCUAUGUCCUAACCCUGCCUAUUAACCAUGGCCCUUCUAUAAGAUGGCUCAAGUCGUGACCCACGAUAACCAUGUACGAGCCCCGAGCGCGCGUCCUAUUUGGUCACCCCCAUUUAAUAUGUACCCAUUUUUUUUUAAUUUGUACCCACUGUUUAAACAACUUCAGGCUUUUUUCUCUUCUUCCUCCUCCUCCUCCUCCUCCUCCUCUUCUUCUUCUUCUUCUUCGGGUAACGAUUUUAUAUGGUGUUUGUCAACAUAUUUAAGGUAGUUUAUGAUAUUUACAGUGGCGAGCUGUUGUGGUGCUUAUUUUUUACUAUUGCUUAUGGUUUCUUCUUUUUCUUAAUUGCAAAAUGGGUUCGUUAGAUUUAUUAUUGAUUUUGACAAAUUGAUGAUUAAGGUUUGUUCUUGAUGAUAUUUGGAGGUUAUGUUUCAAAUUUGAGUUCAAUUGCAGUAGAUUUAGGUAUUAAAUCGUAUAUUGUAUUGUUAAAAUUCGAAGAAUAAAUUUCUGUUUCUGGAAAAUUUGCACUUCAUGCGUAUUUAGCUUUAAGUGCAUGAAAACGUUUGUUGCACUUCAGACCUUUUGGACCUAAGUGCAUCUGAAAUGUAAUUUUUUACUUCAGACUUAUUGGCCUUAAGUGUAGGAAAACGUUUGCUGCACUUUAGACAUUUUAGCUUAAAGUGCAUCUGAAGUAUAAUUUUUUCACUUCAGACUUAUUUAGCCUUAAGUGCAUGAAACCAUUGAUUGCACUUCAGACCUAUUUUGUAUUAAGUGCAUCUAAAGUGUAAUUUUUUUACUUCAAACUAAUUUUCUUUUAACUUCAGAUCCGAUAAGUCUGAAGUUGAUCGUAAAAUGUGUAGCUUGCAAUUUUGUUUUUUUGCAAAAUGGGUAUAUGUUCAAUUGUAACCCCAAAAUCGGGUAUAGAUGCAAAAGCCCCGUGAAACUUGUCCCUCAUUUCAUCGAGGAAAAAAUAUAAUUGUGCAAUAUUUUAACAAAAUUUACAAAAGUUUAGAAGUAUGACUUAAUUAACAAAUGUGGCAGCUACAUAUUUACAUUCCGCAACGUCAUAAAUAACUCUUUCUUACUUUUUCGCCCAACCCAUUACUUUUUUCCUAAUAACUGUAUUCUUAAAUUUUGGAAAAACUGAAAAAAAAAAAAAGGUCUCAAAUAAUGACUUACAAGACAUGGGGUCAUCUGCAAUCUUAUUCAUAACUUUUAGCUUUUUUGAACUUUCAUUUCGAAACUAAGAUUGGAAGUCUAUACAAGGUUGAAUAGAGUCUAAUUUUCAAGUGAUAAAUAUAGAGCAAACUGUUAUUAUGUUGCCUUUUUGCUUGAAAGCGGGCAUAGCCACUAGGAAGAAACAUGUUCUUCUCGAUCUACAUUUGUGAAACAGUUUGUAAUCUUAAUUAUUCAACUUGCUAUGUGUGUUUAAGGAAUGCAAUUUAUCACAUUGUUAAAUAUUGAUUUCCAACUUUAUUCUCAAAAGUUCAGUUGAGACAUUUUAUCAAACACAUCAUAGAUAUUUUUUUAACAUGGGUAAUUUGACACUACAAAAAUCACAAGAGGUUUAAUUUAACACUACAGAAAUCACAAGAGGUGUAAGAUUGAAGAAGAACCUGUUUUGUUGCCGUCACUCUUUGCCCACAAUAAUAUUUUGCUCAACAACUGAUUUCGUUUUUCUCCUUGCAAUUUGGUGGUGGUGGUGGUGUAGUAGUAGUUUGUAAAUGGUUUAAUCUUUUAUUUUUCUUCAUUCUCGCGCCAAAGAAUCAUUUCCAUUGAUCCGAAAAUAUUUUCCCAAUCAAAAUGAAACCCCAGCAAGAUUUUUCGGAUAGUUGAUUUCUCUUUCCAACUUUGACACUAAUCCAACAAGAGAAUGUAGUUUAAUCAUGGUUUAGUC